AGAUUUUGUUAAUAGUUUUAUUUUAUGAAUUUUAUUUUGUUUUCGUCUAAUAUGGUACAAUUUACUUAUUCCUAUUGAAAAUAAAGGGAAAUUAGACAACAAAAUUAUUUACAUAUUCUUUCAAAGAUAAUUAUUAUAAAUUAAAUAUGCUAUACGUAACAUCUUUAUCUCUUCUUAUUUUUUCUUUUACUCAGAUAAAGAUGCGUCGAAGGUCUUUAUCAAAAAAAAAAAAAAAAACCUUCUUCCAAAUCAUUAAGUGAAAAAAACUAUGACACAAAGAAACUGAUGCGGUCUUUGGGGCUGCCUUACAUGAUGUUCUUGUUGUUGUAGUGAUCAUCAACUACUGUUGUUGACUGGAAGUCUAGAACUUAAGAUUGUAUUCUCGGGUUGCUUAGUGUUGUUGUAGUUUUGAAGUCAAGAUUGUAAUGACAAGUGAUGAGUCGGGUUUAAAGAUGCAUUGGUAUGUCUUGAUGUAGUUUACUUGUUCUGUUUUGUUGUUGUAGUGAUCAUCAGCUACUGUUAAGAACUAACAUCAGCUACUGCCUACUCUUUAGUGAUUGAACAUUAUGUAUGGCUCUUAUUCAGAUUUCUUCACACGUAAGUUAUAUUAGUUUCAUAUUAAAAGUUCUAUAUUUUUGUGUUUUUUCUGAAAAUUUAUUAAAUAGUCCACACGAAAGGAGCUUGUAACUACUAGAAUAUUUUUACUUUUUAUUCAGAUGUUCUUCACACCUUAUAUUUCAUUUGCAGCUUGACUUUAGUUUGUUUAGAGAAUAUCAUGCUAAAAAAGAUAUGGAUAUAUCCAAUAUCGAGAGGUUUAGAUUUUGUUGUUUCCAUAUAUAUAUAUAUAUAUACAGCUUAUAUGGUGUUUUUAAUAAUUCAGUAAACUUCUGCAUCGUAGUUCUAAGAACGCAACUCAUCUCCAGAUGGAAAAUGAUGGUCAAAAUCAAGGAGAAGCCCAACCUAUGAAUGUCUUAGGUGUUUUUAAUCCUUCCAAAGUGAAUGGAUCAUUGUGCUUUAAACGUGAUUCCCUAAUCACUAAUGAGAUAAGAACAAUCAUCCGAUCUGAUUUUCCUGGCCCGUAUCGGAAUUGGUCAGCUACACCGCAACAUGUAAAAGAUCCAUGGUGGUACACAUUUAAGGUGCAAGACAUUUCCGAAGAAAUGCAGAUAUCAAAGAAAGGCUGAGCAAACUUGGAGGAUUGGAGAAGAUGAUAGCAAUCUUUUGUCCAGCUAUUCUGUCCACUGGUGUCAACCGUUAAGUUUCAGUUGGCUGCUUUAGUUAUUUUUCUAAGUUUUUAUUAGGUUUUUCUAAGUUCUUAUUAAGUUUAUCUAGCUUUCAAAUUAUCGCUGUUUUUUCUCUAAUAAUGCAUUGUUAAACUUUUUAAUAUAUUUUUUAUUUAAUAAAGUUGGUUAU
Brassica napus (rape) is the source of this 1413-nucleotide long non-coding RNA. RefSeq lists it as uncharacterized. The transcript is spliced from 3 exons. Lineage: Eukaryota; Viridiplantae; Streptophyta; Magnoliopsida; Brassicales; Brassicaceae. The record is from RefSeq and is a predicted model, not a curated record.